This 46-nucleotide ribosomal RNA is filed under the name Panicum dichotomiflorum (fall panicum). Its description in RNAcentral is "partial 26S ribosomal RNA". The record is from RNAcentral. Lineage: Eukaryota; Viridiplantae; Streptophyta; Magnoliopsida; Poales; Poaceae.
CGCGACCCCAGGUCAGGUGGGAUUACCCGCUGAGUUUAAGCAUAUA